UGUUUCGGCUAGGGGGCCAUCCCGGCUUACCAACCCGAUGCAAACUGCGAAUACCGGAGAAUGUUAUCACGGGAGACACACGGCGGGUGCUAACGUCCGUCGUGAAGAGGGAAACAACCCAGACCGCCAGCUAAGGUCCCAAAGUCAUGGUUAAGUGGGAAACGAUGUGGGAAGGCCCAGACAGCCAGGAUGUUGGCUUAGAAGCAGCCAUCAUUUAAAGAAAGCGUAAUAGCUCACUGGUCGAGUCGGCCUGCGCGGAAGAUGUAACGGGGCUAAACCAUGCACCGAAGCUGCGGCAGCGACGCUUAUGCGUUGUUGGGUAGGGGAGCGUUCUGUAAGCCUGUGAAGGUGGCCUGUGAGGGUUGCUGGAGGUAUCAGAAGUGCGAAUGCUGACAUAAGUAACGAUAAAGCGGGUGAAAAGCCCGCUCGCCGGAAGACCAAGGGUUCCUGUCCAACGUUAAUCGGGGCAGGGUGAGUCGACCCCUAAGGCGAGGCCGA
This 498-nucleotide ribosomal RNA is filed under the name Salmonella enterica. RNAcentral's name for it is "partial 23S ribosomal RNA". It matches the Rfam family "Bacterial large subunit ribosomal RNA", at positions 911 to 1405 of the family's 2925-position model. Lineage: Bacteria; Pseudomonadati; Pseudomonadota; Gammaproteobacteria; Enterobacterales; Enterobacteriaceae. RNAcentral also lists the same sequence under 1 other name. The record is from RNAcentral.